This 497-nucleotide ribosomal RNA is filed under the name uncultured bacterium. RNAcentral describes it as "partial 16S ribosomal RNA". It matches the Rfam family "Bacterial small subunit ribosomal RNA", at positions 28 to 507 of the family's 1533-position model. The record is from RNAcentral.
GAUGAACGCUGGCGGCGUGCCUAACACAUGCAAGUCGAGCGAACAGACGAGGAGCUUGCUCCUCUGACGUUAGCGGCGGACGGGUGAGUAACACGUGGAUAACCUACUUAUAAGACUGGGAUAACUUCGAGAAACCGGAGCUAAUACCGGAGAAUAGAUUGAACCGCAUGGUUCAAUAGUGAAAGACGGUUUUGCUGUCACUUAUUGAUGGAUCCGCGCCGCAUUAGCUAGUUGGUAAGGUAACGGCUUACCAAGGCAACGAUGCGUAGCCGACCUGAGAGGGAGAUCGGCCACACUGGAAGUGAGACACGGUCCAGACUCCUACGGGAGGCAGCAGUAGGGAAUCUUCCGCAAUGGGCGAAAGCGUGACGGAGCAACGCCGCGUGAGUGAUGAAGGACUUCGGAUCGUAAAGCUCUGUUAUUAGGAGAGAACAAAUGUGUAAGUAACUAUGCCGGUCUUGACGGUACCUGAUCAGAAAGCCACGGCUAACUACGUG